Molecule: ribosomal RNA, 390 nt
Filed under: uncultured Glomus
Lineage: Eukaryota; Fungi; Glomeromycota; Glomeromycetes; Glomerales; Glomeraceae
Description: SSU rRNA
Rfam family: Eukaryotic small subunit ribosomal RNA
Source: RNAcentral
AGCAGCCGCGGUAAUUCCAGCUCCAAUAGCGUAUAUUAAAGUUGUUGCAGUUAAAAAGCUCGUAGUUGAAUUUCGGGAUCAAUAUAUCGGUCGUGCCUUGGUACGUACUGGUAUCAUUGAUUUCUCCCUUCUGACGAAUCAUGAUGUCAUUAAUUUGGUGUUAUGAGGAGUUAGGACUGUUACUUUGAAAAAUUAGAGUGUUUAAAGCAGGCAUUAGCUUGAAUACAUUAGCAUGGAAUAAUGAAAUAGGACGUUUGACCCUAUUUUGUUGGUUUCUAGGAUCGACGUAAUGAUUAAUAGGGAUAGUUGGGGCAUUAGUAUUCAAUUGUCAGAGGUGAAAUUCUUGGAUUUAUUGAAGACUAACUACUGCGAAAGCAUUUGCCAAGGAUG